This is a long non-coding RNA of Serinus canaria (Common canary), 2816 nucleotides long. RefSeq lists it as uncharacterized. Lineage: Eukaryota; Metazoa; Chordata; Aves; Passeriformes; Fringillidae. The record is from RefSeq and is a predicted model, not a curated record. The transcript is spliced from 3 exons.
CACUGUUGAUUCAGGUAAUUCAGGCCUUUGUGGCCAUCUCCUUGGAAAGCAACGUGUUUUUCCUCCUCUGUCUGGCAGUUUAGUCACUGCCUCGUCUGUCUCGUGGCCAUUUCCAAAUUAAAACCAUGCCAGACUCAUCCCAGCCAGCUCCAGAUUCACACAGCAUUUGCAUGUUUUGCAUAAAUGUAAUUGCAGCUAUUUUUCCCCUGUGUUUUCAGAUUGUGCCACAGGUCUGGUUUGAAUCUCUCACCGAGAAUGAAGCCCUGGUUUAGGUGAGAGCAUAAUUAGGUCACAAACCUGGAGUGGCACCAAUUUUUUUUCAGCUUUUCAGUCAACAUUCAGCAUUUUAUUCCAGAAACCACCUCAUGGUUUGUAGUUUGUUGUGUCACUGCCUUCAGUUUGUGUAGAACCUCCAGGUGCGUUUAAUACCCAAAAUCUGAAUUUUUUAAAAUGUGGUUUUUUUUCCAAGUCAUCGUCACACCUGAAGCCCUUUUUGGGAAUAAUUCCCCCUUGACUCUCAGAGCAACUUCUGCAAAGUCUCCAGGAAUGGUUUUUCCUUCCAUUUUUCCAACAAGGAGCUGAAUUCUGUUUCUCAGUGGAAAUAAAACAUUCAGCAGCUGGGGUUGGCUCUGGGCUAACUGGGCAAGUUCUUUCCCUGGCCUAAUUAGGGCUGGAAUGAGCUCAGGUUUUGUGUCCUGGCACCGCAGUUUGGAGGCCAGGAUGGCCACAGGUGACAUCCUGACAGCCCUGCUGGAGGACAGGAAUGGCAGCAAUUGGGAACACGGGGUUGGUGGCAUCCCUGCAAUUGCUGGGACACCUCAUUUUGGUUGAUUUAUGGCCAUCCCCAAAGCCAGAACCCCAAAUGUUUCGUUCAGGUGGUGCAGCCAACAAUCAUUUCUGCUCAACUCGGAUAAUUUGAGUGGGUAAUUUUGGCUAACCAAGGGGAGGAAGUCUCCAGCUUCAAUUUUUCCACCCCAAAACCUUUCUGAGGAGAGAAAUGUUUCAUUUUAUUCAUUAAAGCAAGGCUUAGCACAUCGUGACUGCAACAAAACAAGAAUUAAACUGACCAGGAAGGGAUAAAAUGAUUCAAUCCUCAGACUGGGGGGUUUUAUUUUUAGAAUGAUUUGAAGAUUUCAGUUCAGAGAAGGACCAAAUUAAUUGGGAAUGUUUCCUGUGAUGCUUGAGGCUGAAGGAUGUGAUCCAUUCCUGGCUGGGCUGGAUGGGACAUUGAGCAACUUGACCCAGUGGGAGGUGGCCCUGCCCAUGGCAGGGGUUGGGACAAGGUGAUCUUUAAGGUCCCUUCCACCCCAAACCAUUCCGUGACUCCACAACUGGUGGGAAGUUUUUUUAGAAAUUAUUUUUUAAUUUUAAAAAAUUAAUUCUUUUAGCAAGUACGUUUUUAAUUUAAAAAAAAAAGGAUAUUUCACUCAAAGUGGAAUUAUUAGGAAGUAUUUUUUAAAUUAAAGAAAAAGACAUUUCAAUAUUUCAAAAGGAACUAUUUUUUCAAUUUAAAAAAAAAAAUGGAAUUUUUUUCUAGAAAGUAUUUUUUUAAUUUAAAAAAAAAAGGGCAUUUCACUGGAAGCUCCCUCCCAACAGUAUCAGAACCUCCAUCUCUCAUUUAACUUCAUCCCACAUCCCCAAGCCUCGGAGGUGUCUGUCUGCAGAGCAACUGAAGCUCUUCAGCUUCUUGAAAGGGAAGAACUUCAAAGCCAAUCCCAAAUAUUCAUUAAAUGGUUGAGACACACCGAGUGCAUCAGCCAUGGAAAUGCUGCAGCUCCAAUGCAAAAUUGGGAUGGUUUUGUCACUUGGGCAACGACGUCACCCGAAAUUUGGUUACUCCCCGGGCAGACAGCGUUUGACAGCGUCAGGACCCAGGGUUAUUAAUUUUUUCAUUCAAAAGUCGUUUUGUGUGUCAUAAUAACCUCCCACGGAGCCUCUGGAGAGGAUCCAAGGCUGCUUGGGAUUCUGGUGACAAUUUCGGGCACAAAACGAGGUGGGGAUGGGGAAGGGGAUCCAGCAGGGCCCUGCUCAGGUGAGACCUCACCUGCAGAGCUGCCCUGGAUCCCAGCCCAGGGAGGACCUGGAGCUGCUGGGGAGAGCCCAGAGGAGGCUCCAGGAUGGGAUCAGAGGGAUGGAGCAGCUCUGCUGGGACAACUGGGAAUGUUCAGCCUGGAGAAGCUUUGGGGUGACCCAAUUGUGGCCUUGGAGGACCUGAAGGGGCAACGAGGAACAGGGGCAGAGACAAUUCCUGAGGGAUGGGGUGCCUGGACAAGGGGGAAAGGGUUCAGACUGACAGGGAGGAAAUUUAGGUGGGAUUUUGGGAAGGUUCACACCAACAGAAAGGAAAUUUAGAUGGGAUUUUGGGAAGGUUCAGAUCGACAAGGAGGAAAUUUAGGUGGGAUUUUGGGAAGGUUCAGAUCGACAAGGAGGAAAUUUAGACGGGAUUUUGGGAAGGUUCAGAUCGACAGGGAGGAAAUUUAGGUGGGAUUUUGGGAAGGUUCACACCAACAGAAAGGAAAUUUAGAUGGGAUUUUGGGAAGGUUCACACCAACAGAAAGGAAAUUUAGGUGGGAUUUUGGGAAGGUUCACAACAACAGAAAGGAAAUUUAGAUGGGAUUUUGGGAAGGAAUCCCUCCCUGGGAGGGUGGGGAGGUCCUGGCAGGGGUUAUCCCAUGGAUGGUCCAUCUUUGGAAUUGUCCAAGGCCAGGCUGGAGCACCCAGGGAUGGUGGGAAUGUCCCUGUCCAUGGCAGGGCGGGGAUGAGAUGAGUUUCCAUUCCAUCCCAAAGCAUUCCAAGAUUUCCUGGGAGACCGAUAG